RNAcentral lists this ribosomal RNA (2803 nucleotides) under Pseudomonas putida B6-2. RNAcentral describes it as "bacterial LSU rRNA". The stretch from base 1 to 2056 matches the Rfam family "Bacterial large subunit ribosomal RNA". Lineage: Bacteria; Pseudomonadati; Pseudomonadota; Gammaproteobacteria; Pseudomonadales; Pseudomonadaceae. The record is from RNAcentral.
UCAAGUGAAGAAGCGCAUACGGUGGAUGCCUUGGCAGUCAGAGGCGAUGAAAGACGUGGUAGCCUGCGAUAAGCUUUGGGGAGUCGGCAAACAGACUGUGAUCCAGAGAUCUCUGAAUGGGGAACCCAGCAGCAUAAGCUGGUUAUCUUGUACUGAAUACAUAGGUGCAAGAGGCGAACCAGGGGAACUGAAACAUCUAAGUACCCUGAGGAAAAGAAAUCAACCGAGAUUCCCUUAGUAGUGGCGAGCGAACGGGACCAGCCCUUAAGUUGGUUUGAGAUUAGUGGAACGCUCUGGAAAGUGCGGCCAUAGUGGGUGAUAGCCCGUACACGAAAAUCUCUUAUCAAUGAAAUCGAGUAGGGACGGAGCACGAGAAACUUUGUCCUGAAUAUGGGGGGACCAUCCUCCAAGGCUAAAUACUACUGACUGACCGAUAGUGAACCAGUACCGUGAGGGAAAGGCGAAAAGAACCCCGGAGAGGGGAGUGAAAUAGAACCUGAAACCGUAUGCGUACAAGCAGUGGGAGCCUACUUUGUUAGGUGACUGCGUACCUUUUGUAUAAUGGGUCAGCGACUUAUAUUCAGUGGCGAGCUUAACCGAAUAGGGGAGGCGUAGCGAAAGCGAGUCUUAAUAGGGCGUUUAGUCGCUGGGUAUAGACCCGAAACCGGGCGAUCUAUCCAUGGGCAGGUUGAAGGUUAGGUAACACUGACUGGGAGGACCGAACCGACUACCGUUGAAAAGUUAGCGGAUGACCUGUGGAUCGGAGUGAAAGGCUAAUCAAGCUCGGAGAUAGCUGGUUCUCCUCGAAAGCUAUUUAGGUAGCGCCUCAUGUAUCACUGUAGGGGGUAGAGCACUGUUUCGGCUAGGGGUCAUCCCGACUUACCAAACCGAUGCAAACUCCGAAUACCUACAAGUGCCGAGCAUGGGAGACACACGGCGGGUGCUAACGUCCGUCGUGAAAAGGGAAAACCCAGACCGUCAGCUAAGGUCCCAAAGUCAUGGUUAAGUGGGAAACGAUGUGGGAAGGCUUAGACAGCUAGGAGGUUGGCUUAGAAGCAGCCACCCUUUAAAGAAAGCGUAAUAGCUCACUAGUCGAGUCGGCCUGCGCGGAAGAUGUAACGGGGCUCAAACCAUGCACCGAAGCUACGGGUAUCAUCGUAUGAUGAUGCGGUAGAGGAGCGUUCUGUAAGCCUGUGAAAGGUGAGUUGAGAAGCUUGCUGGAGGUAUCAGAAGUGCGAAUGCUGACAUGAGUAACGACAAUGCGAGUGAAAAACUCGCACGCCGAAAAGACCAAGGUUUCCUGCGCAACGUUAAUCGACGCAGGGUUAGUCGGUCCCUAAGGCGAGGCUGAAAAGCGUAGUCGAUGGAAAAACAGGUUAAUAUUCCUGUACUUCCAGUUAUUGCGAUGGGGGACGGAGAAGGUUAGGCCAGCCUGGCGUUUGGUUGUCCAGGUUUAAGGUGGUAGGCUGAAAAUCUUAGGCAAAUCCGGGAUUUCAAGGCCGAGAGCUGAUGACGAGUUGCCUUUAGGCGACGAAGUGGUUGAUACCAUGCUUCCAAGAAAAGCUCCUAAGCUUCAGAUAACUGGGAACCGUACCCCAAACCGACACAGGUGGUUAGGUAGAGAAUACCAAGGCGCUUGAGAGAACUCGGGUGAAGAACUAGGCAAAAUGGCACCGUAACUUCGGGAGAAGGUGCGCCGGCGAGGGUGAAGGACUUGCUCCGUAAGCCCAUGCCGGUCGAAGAUACCAGGCCGCUGCGACUGUUUAUUAAAAACACAGCACUCUGCAAACACGAAAGUGGACGUAUAGGGUGUGACGCCUGCCCGGUGCCGGAAGGUUAAUUGAUGGGGUUAGCGCAAGCGAAGCUCUUGAUCGAAGCCCCGGUAAACGGCGGCCGUAACUAUAACGGUCCUAAGGUAGCGAAAUUCCUUGUCGGGUAAGUUCCGACCUGCACGAAUGGCGUAACGAUGGCGGCGCUGUCACCGAGCCAAUCUGCAGUAGCGCAUCAGCGGCACCAUGCUGUCGCCAUGCCCGCCCAGCACCAACGCCGUGAUAUCCCGUGCAGAAAACCCGGUUUGCUCGGCGAUGAAGCACUUCAUGCGCGCGGUAUCCAGCACCCCCGCCUGCCCGAACACCUUGUCGCGCCCCUGCCCGCUGACGCUCCAGGCGCGGUAGGUGAGCACAUCGACCGGGUUGGACACCACCAGCACCGUCGCUGUCGGCGCGUGGUGCUUGAUAUCCGCCAUGAUGCUGUCGAGGAUUGGCAGGUUGGUACUCAAUACAUCCUGGCGCGACUGGCCGGGCUUGCGCGGCACGCCCGCCGUGAUCACCACCAGCUCGGCCCCCUCCAGCAUCUCGGCUUUGGCCCCGCCGUGAACAUGGGUAUCGGAACCUGAAUCCACAGCCGCCUGCCAAACGUCCAGCGCCUUGCCCUGCGCCAGUUCACCCUGCACGUCCAUCAACACCAGCUCACGGCACAACUCAUCCCGGGCGAUGAUCUGCGCCGCCGCCUCGCCGACCAGGCCGGCACCCACAAUCGUUAAUUUGUUCACCAGACACCUCCCAGCGGCGCGCGCCACCAGGAACACGCCUGCGUAUAGAGAGAAGUAUUGCCUGCCAGGGCUAAAUGGCCACCCAAGACGAUGCGACGACCUUCACUUGACAGUAUUCCAUGGCAGCGCGAAUACUUUGGCCAGAUUCAUAUAGAUGACCAUACAACAAGGUGAAUCAAUCAAUGAACAUGCUGCCCAAGUGCCCCGUCGCCACACCGCCGCCCACCGGCCUCAGCGCCACGCCUCCCUGCU